RNAcentral lists this ribosomal RNA (497 nucleotides) under uncultured bacterium. RNAcentral describes it as "partial 16S ribosomal RNA". It matches the Rfam family "Bacterial small subunit ribosomal RNA", at positions 28 to 507 of the family's 1533-position model. The record is from RNAcentral.
GAUGAACGCUGGCGGCGUGCCUAAUACAUGCAAGUCGAGCGAACGGACGAGAAGCUUGCUUCUCUGAUGUUAGCGGCGGACGGGUGAGUAACACGUGGAUAACCUACCUAUAAGACUGGGAUAACUUCGGGAAACCGGAGCUAAUACCGGAUAAUAUUUUGAACCGCAUGGUUCAAAAGUGAAAGACGGUCUUGCUGUCACUUAUAGAUGGAUCCGCGCUGCAUUAGCUAGUUGGUAAGGUAACGGCUUACCAAGGCAACGAUGCAUAGCCGACCUGAGAGGGUGAUCGGCCACAAUGGAACUGAGACACGGUCCAGACUCCUACGGGAGGCAGCAGUAGGGAAUCUUCAGCAAUGGGCGAAAGCCUGACGGAGCAACGCCGCGUGAGUGAUGAAGGUCUUCGGAUCGUAAAACUCUGUUAUUAGGGAAGAACAUAUGUGUAAGUAACUGUGCACAUCUUGACGGUACCUAAUCAGAAAGCCACGGCUAACUACGUG